AGUCGAACGGCAGCACGGACUUCGGUCUGGUGGCGAGUGGCGAACGGGUGAGUACGUAUCGGAACGUGCCUAGUAGCGGGGAUAACUACGCGAAAGCGUGAAGCACAAUGCAUACGCCCUUCGGGAAAGUGGGGGACCUUCGGGCCUCGCACUAUUAGAGCGGCCGAUAUCGGAUUAGCUAGUUGGUGGGGUAACGGCUCACCAAGGCGACGAUCCGUGGCUGGUUUGAGAGGACGACCAGCCACACUGGGACUGAGACACGGCCCAGACUCCUACGGGAGGCAGCAGUGGGGAAUUUUGACAAUGGGGGAAACCCUGAUCCAGCCAUCCCGCGUGCGAUGAAGGCCUUCGGGUUGUAAAGCACUUUUUGGCAGGAAAGAAACGGCACGGAUAAUACCCCGCAACUGACGGUACCUGCAGAAUAAGCACCGGCUAACUACGUGCCAGCAGCCGCGGUAAUACGUAGGCAGCGUUAAUCGGAAUUACUGGGCGUAAAGCGCAGGCAGGCGGUUCGGAAAGAAAGAUGAAAUCCCAGAGCUUAACUUUGGAACUGCAUUUUUAACUACCGAGCGAGUGUCAGAGGGAGUGCGGAAUUCGCGUGUAGCAUGAAAUGCGUAGAUAUGCGGAGGAACACCGAUGGCGAAGCAGCCUCCCUGGGAUACUGACGCUCAUGCACGAAAGCGUGGGGAGCAAACAGGAUUAGAUACCCUGGUAGUCCACGCCCUAAACGAUGUCAACUAGCUGUUGGGGCCUUCGCCUGGUAGCGCAGCUAACGCGGUUGACCGCCUGGGGAGUACGGUCGCAAGAUUUAAACUCAAAGGAAUUGACGGGGACCGCACAAGCGGUGGAUGAUGUGGAUUAACGAUGCAACGCGAAAACCCAUCACUCCUGAUAUGUCUGGAAUCCCGAAGAGAUUUGGGAGUGCUCGCAAGAGAACCGGAACACAGGUGCUGCACAGCUGUCGUCAGCUCGUGUCGAGAUGUUGCUGUCUCAUAAACGAGCGCAACCCUUGUCAUUAGCUGCGCACGUGAAGGACUGACAGACUGCCGGUGACAAACCGGAGGAAGGUGGGGAUGACGUCAAGUCCUCAUGGCCCUUAUGGGUAGGGUCACACGUCAUACAAUGAACGGGACAGAGGGUCGCCAACCCGCGAGGGGGAGCUAAUCCCAGAAACCCGAUCGUAGUCCGGAUCGCAGUCUGCAACCUCGACUGCGAAGCUGGAAUCGCUAGUAAUCGCGGAUCAGCGGCGUCGCGGUGCGAACAUGUUCCCGGUCUGUACACACCGCCCGUCACACCAUGGGAGUGGGUUUUACCAGAAAGUAGUUGCCUUAACCGUAUGAGGGCGAUUACCACGGUAGGAUUCAUGACUGUGGGUGAAGUCGCAUUGGCAGC
This 1392-nucleotide ribosomal RNA is filed under the name uncultured Bordetella sp. Its description in RNAcentral is "partial 16S-23S ribosomal RNA intergenic spacer". It matches the Rfam family "Bacterial small subunit ribosomal RNA". Lineage: Bacteria; Pseudomonadati; Pseudomonadota; Betaproteobacteria; Burkholderiales; Alcaligenaceae. The record is from RNAcentral.